GGAUUAGCCUCCAGCUUCAGCUUCUUCAGGUGGAUGAAGUCCCUUCUGAUCCCCUCCUGCAGGAGCUUGAGAUCUCCCCAAGAGCAGAUAAUUUUGGCGCCGUCCCUGGCUAGGGUUGACAUGGAGAUGACUCAGCUCACCCAGGAGAAUGAAGACUUCGCCACUCGGGAUCGCUACCACCACUCCUCCCUUGUGAGUCGGGAACAGCUGAUGUCUCAGUACUGACGUGCUGGGUACUCAUUAGUAGGCAGCCCAAGGACCCUCCUCUGUUGGAGCUGUCCAGUGCAUAAUGGAUCCAAAUCCCAGAACCUUCAUGAUGCUGGUUCUCCUCAGUAAGAAACUCAGAGACCUGUCCUCCCCCUGCUGGUUUGGACAACGGAAAUCUGCCUUCUGGCCUGGAACACCCAUCUCAUCAGGGUAACCCCUGGAAUGGCUAUGGCCUCUGCAACAUGCAUCCAGUUUGGAGAGCGCCACACGGACAUCAAGACUUGUAGGUGUAGAGAACCAGACCAGGUUGCUUGUUCUGAAGGCCACAAUAAAUGGUUGUUUUAAA
This is a non-coding RNA of Leptonychotes weddellii (Weddell seal), 553 nucleotides long. The record is from RefSeq and is a predicted model, not a curated record. Lineage: Eukaryota; Metazoa; Chordata; Mammalia; Carnivora; Phocidae.